GGGGCGGGGCUCGCGGCUGGUGGUCGCGUUCUGCUGGUGUCUCUGGCUCCGCGCCUUGGCCGCUUCAGAAGGGGUGGUCGGGUCUGGGGGCCGAAAAUCGAGCCUUGCAGCACAGUUGCCAGAAAAUCUUACAAAAAGACCGUCCUAAGUCAGUGCGGGCGUUGUAAAGCGGGCCGAGCCAAGCGGGGAGCCCGGCUGGCCCAUGGCGGGACACUUGGGGCUCCUAUACUGAAUCUUCGCGAUGGGCAGGACUUGCUUUGCUUUCUGCUAACCACACAGUUGGGAUCCGUCCGACCCGUUCCAGUGUCUUUGCUCCUGCUGUCUCGGAACAGCUCUGAACAUCCCGCCCCUGGGAACAGUGACAAUUGCUUGACUCCAAACCUGGAGGAUAAGAAGGAAGGCUGUUUAAUGAUAGUUGAACCUGGGGUGAGAAGAGCUGCUUCCAAACAUAGCAUUGAGAAGUCCCCUGUGGGGUGUUCCUUUGCUCCGAACACCUCUGAAUCCGCGGAGACCAGUCUAUUCUUGAUGCCUCUGAAAAUCUAUCAGGCUUGUCUUCCCUUUGAGGGGAACCGUCUGAUCUCCAAACACUGGCUUUCAAGCUCUUCUCUUUUUUUGUCUUUGCGACCUACCCCAGCUUCUUGAUUCCUUCUCUUUUUCCUUUUUAAGAAACUUACAAGCUGGGCGCCUUCUGGUACAUGGUGUGCAAAGCCUUCAUGAACUCGUGGACACAGAAUUGAAAAAACAAAAGCCUGAAAUCAGAAGCUGUGAGGCCACCAGGGAAGACUGUGGUUAUGGAUGGAACCUCAUCCCACAUCCAGAGUGGGCUGGAUCACAUCAGUGUCUCCAGCUGACUCAUCACCCUGCUGAUUAAUUCUGAGCUGAUGGAGGAAAGCCAGUCCAAGGAUGAAGCCUACGCACUGGGGAGGGCAGACCUGAGAGAGGCACAGAGAAAUGAAGUCAGAGCCCUGAGCAAACUGUACCUGAAGCUCACACCACCUCUGGACUUCACAGGAAAAGGAUGAAAUCUACCCAGAGGAAAUCGAUAUCCUGGACAUCACCAAGACACGGAGUCCUCUGGCCAGCCCCUGGGGCUGUGUGUUGCACCAUUGGCCAGCUUGGAGCACAAUGUAGCUUAUACUUUGGAAUUUCCACUUGGCCUUUACUGCCUUGAUUACUGCCCCUUAAAGCAACUGUGUUCAGCUACCAGGUUAAAGGGGGUUGUCAGGGCAGAACCUCCAUUUCCUGAUCACUUCUGAGCUGGUCUUGACCUGGUACGCUGCUCAGCUCUCCUCACCCAAAUGCUCUGUUACUCCGGUCACCAAUACUGCAAUUCACCAUCGGUUGUGGUAUCUCUCGAAUGAGGGGAUAAACUACAUAUACUCAAAAAUUAUCUCUUGUUUAUCUAAAAUUCAAAUUUAACUGGGUGUCUUGUAUUUUUAUUUGCUAAAUCUGGAGAUCCCAUCUUCAGCCACCAUCUUAAUGCCUCUCAAUUGAGAUUCUAGUUUUCUGUCUUGGUUGAGACCAAGAAUUAGUCUCACAAUUGGAAUCUGGCCAUCCCUCGGCUAGCAGUGCUGAGCAAAAGGAGCAUCCAGCCCUGGACAUUGAGUUGGGGCUGAAUUGUCUCAGGACAACCACUGAGACAUUUUCAGAAAAGAGAAGCCACCUGAGAACCUGGAGAAAAGGCAGACAAGCAAGAAAUUACAGGUGGGCUGAUGGAGGAUGGCCCCUCCAUAUAAAGUAUACAAUUUGUGCUCCACUUGUUUAUUUGUAAGCCACACAGAAAGAGGGUAGAGAAGGACAAGGAACAAUAUUGUGAAUGCUUUCUCAGAGCUGUGGGGAAGAAAUGAAUGGCACUUCGUGGUAAUGAGGCAGGGAAACUGGAAAAAAACUGCUUUUUUGCUCCUUUUCCUGCUCCUAUUCUUGCUAGGAGCUGCACUCCUGUCCUACACAUGGCUUAUAGUACCGAUGAUAUAUGUCCUUCUUAUAAAGGUCAAGGAGUUAAUUUAUUCCUUUGGAGUCUUCCAGCACAACAGAUAACACCUAUGAAGUGACCGGGUGAGGUCAUUCUGUACAUUUUCCAAGACUGCUGACUGCAGACCCCUUGACACCAAGACCCCUAGCUCCAGGGCACAAGUGACUUAUAGAGGACACCGGAGCACUCCUCCUUGUUUUGACCUGUUCCUGGAUGCCUGAGAGGACACAUAUGCCAGACCACCAUGCUCAGUAAAAACCCCAGGCUGCAAGUAAUGAUGAGACUCAUGUUCCUUUUCCAUUCCAAGUGUCCAAGAUGCUCUGUCUGUAUCUGCUCUCUCUGUAACUUCAAUAAACUCUGCUCUCACUUC
Leptonychotes weddellii (Weddell seal) is the source of this 2342-nucleotide long non-coding RNA. RefSeq lists it as uncharacterized. NCBI's taxonomy places the organism in Eukaryota, Metazoa, Chordata, Mammalia, Carnivora, Phocidae. The record is from RefSeq and is a predicted model, not a curated record.